Molecule: long non-coding RNA, 967 nt
Organism: Cephus cinctus (wheat stem sawfly)
Lineage: Eukaryota; Metazoa; Arthropoda; Insecta; Hymenoptera; Cephidae
Exons: 3
Source: RefSeq, a predicted model, not a curated record
UAAACUCGGUCCUCAUUCCACUCGUUGCGCCUUACGUUGCGGAUACCUCGUCCCUGAGGAAGGCGCACGCAGCUUCCUCUGGAUUUGCAAGACUCCGAAGGACGAGGACGACCAGUUGCCAAGUAAUUGGAUCAAUUCUAGGACGAGUAGUAUUUGCUUUUAUUGGAACCCCAUUUGCCCUCUGGCAUUUGUAAUUCUAAUGUACUUUUAAUAAUUCCACGAGGCUUCAAGGAUACAUUAUCAGCUGGUUAGUAUGGACAUUAUGGAACAAAGGACAAGUGACACGACUCUGUCGUAAUUUUAUUAUGGAAUUAUAAGGUUUCUUUUUUUUAGGUUAGGUCAUUACAAAAAAUGAUAACCUAUUAACUGGCUUGUAGGAAGGUAGAGCCAUUACGUGCGAUAGGCGAGUCCCGUAGUGGCCAAGAUGAAAAAGCACGAUUUCCAGAUGAAACGAGUUGGAAGAAGUUGGAUGCUGUGUUUCUCGACGCUGACGAGGGUGCCGGGCGUCGUAUAUUUUCGUUUAAGGUAUCGUCGGGCAGCCAUAUUGGAUCAGGACCGGUAAAGUCUUCUUCGUCAGUCACCCAACAAGAUAUCGAGUAAUUUCCUUGAUAAUUAGAUACGAUGAGCCAGGAACGUGCUUGGCCUGCUUGAUUCCUAGCGGUACCAACCCCGAGGACCUGAAGGAAAGUGGAUGAGGUAGCUUUACUGGUCAGACAUGGCUCUGGUCCAGGGCUGUUAAUCAUUAAAAAAGUCAACCUCCAUUAACGCAUGGAACGAAGGUACAUUGACGUCUACUUGAGGUAAACGUAUAGAACAGCGUGGAAAUCCAGUAGGCGAAUAAAAGUCAGUAGGGAAUGAGAUAGUAUCGCGAGAAGCACAGCUGCCGUUGAGUGCUCUUCGCCUGGAGUAGUCAAGCCGGGGGUGACCCUUCGCAUUUUGCCAGAAGAGAACCUAACCUAUACAGACG